This 408-nucleotide ribosomal RNA is filed under the name uncultured bacterium. RNAcentral describes it as "partial 16S ribosomal RNA". It matches the Rfam family "Bacterial small subunit ribosomal RNA", at positions 29 to 526 of the family's 1533-position model. The record is from RNAcentral.
AGUGAACGCUGGCGGCGUGCCUAAUACAUGCAAGUCGAACGGAGUGGCGCACGGGUGAGUAAUAUAUAGCUAAUCUGCCCCUUGCUGGAGGACAACAGUUAGAAAUGACUGCUAAUACUCCAUAGCAAGGGAUGAGACUAUAUCGUAUCAGCUAGUCGGUGGGGUAACGGCCUACCGAGGCUAUGACGCGUAACUGGUCUGAGAGGAUGAUCACACACAUGGGUACUGACCCAAGGUCCAAACUCCUACGGGAGGCCGCAGUCAGGAGUAUUGCGCAAUGGCGGCAAGCCUGACGCAGCAACGCCGCGUGGAGCAUGACAGUUUUCGGAGCGUCCAUUCCUUUUGUUAAGGAAGCGUCACCUACCGCAUAAGCACCGGCUCCAUACGUGCCAGCCGCCGCGGUAAUAC